RNAcentral lists this transfer RNA (72 nucleotides) under Fistulina hepatica ATCC 64428. RNAcentral describes it as "tRNA-Gly (TCC) (tRNA-Gly-TCC-2-1)". It matches the Rfam family "tRNA". From Rfam's summary of the family: Transfer RNA (tRNA) molecules are approximately 80 nucleotides in length. Their secondary structure includes four short double-helical elements and three loops (D, anti-codon, and T loops). The record is from RNAcentral. Lineage: Eukaryota; Fungi; Basidiomycota; Agaricomycetes; Agaricales; Fistulinaceae.
ACACCAGUGGUGAAACGGUUAUCAUGCCUGCCUUCCAAGCAGGCGGCGGGGGUUCGACUCCCUCCUGGUGUA